GAGAAAAUUAGAGUGUUCAAAGCAGGCCGGCCGCCGGCAUACUGCAGCUAGGAAUAAUGGAAUAGGACUCCGGUUCUAUUUUGUUGGUUUUCGGAAACGGGGCCAUGAUUAAGAGGGACGGCCGGGGGCAUUCGUAUUGUGCCGCUAGAGGUGAAAUUCUUGGACCGGCGCAAGACGGCCUAGAGCGAAAGCAUUUGCCAAGAAUGUUUUCAU
RNAcentral lists this non-coding RNA (213 nucleotides) under Columba livia (rock pigeon). Its description in RNAcentral is "Eukaryotic small subunit ribosomal RNA". It matches the Rfam family "Eukaryotic small subunit ribosomal RNA", at positions 759 to 973 of the family's 1831-position model. The record is from Rfam by way of RNAcentral. Lineage: Eukaryota; Metazoa; Chordata; Aves; Columbiformes; Columbidae.